UACGAGGGGGGCAAGCGUUGUUCGGAAUUAUUGGGCGUAAAGGGUGCGUAGGCGGCGCGGUAUGUCUCUUGUGAAAUCUCCAGGCUCAACUUGGAGUCUGCAAGGGAAACUGCCGUGCUUGAGUACUGGAGAGGUGAGUGGAAUUCCCGGUGUAGCGGUGAAAUUCGUAGAUAUCGGGAGGAACACCAGUGGCGAAGGCGGCGAUCUGGGAAGAUACUGACGCUGAGGUGCGAAAGCGUGGGGAGCAAACAGG
Molecule: ribosomal RNA, 253 nt
Filed under: uncultured bacterium
Lineage: Bacteria
Description: partial 16S ribosomal RNA
Rfam family: Bacterial small subunit ribosomal RNA
Source: RNAcentral